This 432-nucleotide ribosomal RNA is filed under the name uncultured bacterium. RNAcentral describes it as "bacterial SSU rRNA". It matches the Rfam family "Bacterial small subunit ribosomal RNA", at positions 32 to 507 of the family's 1533-position model. The record is from RNAcentral.
GACGACGCUGGCGGCAUGCCUAACACAUGCAAGUCGAACGAGACCUUCGGGUCUAGUGGCGCACGGGUGCGUAACGCGUGGGAACCUGCCUUUAGGUUCGGAAUAACUCAGAGAAAUUUGAGCUAAUACCGGAUAAUGUCUUCGGACCAAAGAUUUAUCGCCUUUAGAUGGGCCCGCGUUGGAUUAGCUAGUUGGUGGGGUAAAGGCCUACCAAGGCGACGAUCCAUAGCUGGUCUGAGAGGAUGAUCAGCCACACUGGGACUGAGACACGGCCCAGACUCCUACGGGAGGCAGCAGUGGGGAAUAUUGGACAAUGGGCGAAAGCCUGAUCCAGCAAUGCCGCGUGAGUGAUGAAGGCCUUAGGGUUGUAAAGCUCUUUUACCCGAGAUGAUAAUGACAGUAUCGGGAGAAUAAGCUCCGGCUAACUCCGUG